UAGGAUAUAGUAUAAAUGGGAGUACUAAGAGUUUUGAUCUCUUUGGUGCAGGUUCAAGUCCUGUUUUUCUAA
RNAcentral lists this transfer RNA (72 nucleotides) under Platemys platycephala. RNAcentral's name for it is "tRNA-Gln". It matches the Rfam family "tRNA". From Rfam's summary of the family: Transfer RNA (tRNA) molecules are approximately 80 nucleotides in length. Their secondary structure includes four short double-helical elements and three loops (D, anti-codon, and T loops). The record is from RNAcentral. Lineage: Eukaryota; Metazoa; Chordata; Testudines; Chelidae.